ACCAAAGCUUUCGCUUUUCAAAACAAAACAAUAAAGCCUUUGAAUUUUCCAGAGACUUUUUCCUUCUCUUGAACCAACAUCAUUAUCGUAAUGUUUUCAUUAGCUUAUUGCCAAGGCAUUUUUUAUACAAAUUUGGAUGCUAGCUCAUCACCUUCUUCAAUUGGAUAGAAAAGUGAACAUGAGGGGUAUAAAAUGGGUAGAGGACAAGCGACCCUUCAUUCUAGUGCAAACAAAGGGAAGAGGUGUAUGGAGUUCUAGGAUGCUUUGAAAAAGGUGUGGGUUAUUGGUCUAUGAAGAUCGAUAAGAGUGUUUAGGCAUCCCUAGAACUCACUUUUGUGGCUUUAAUGGUGAUUAAGUGUGUCUCAAUGAAAUUUGGACAUACUUUUGAGAAAUGGUCACGCCUACAAAGCUUAAAAAAAAUUUAUUGAGAGUAAUGUCGAGGUAAUACAUUUUAGCUUUGCUUUUUUAUCUCUCAAUUUGUCUUUCAAGUAUGUUGACCACUGUUUUUAAGUUGUUUCAAGCAUGUUGAUUGACCAUUCUUUUUAAGUUGUUUUGAUUGACUCAAAAAUUAUCCAUUUCUUCUAAGAUCAUUGGAUAAUUUUUUCUUCUCAAAAUUAUGCAGAGAAUUGCUUUUGGUGCAAGAAGAAACAAAUAUGUUCUUAAAAAAGUAACAACUUUUUUAGUCAAGAUGUUAUAAUAAUGAUUCAAGAUUUGCAAAUUAACAAGAUUACAAAUAAAAAAAGAACAAAAUAUCAAACACAGUGCAAAUACUUGAUUCAAAUUUCAUUAAAAAAAUUCUUAAAUCCAAAAUAGAGAUAUUCUUCAAGUCAAAUCCACUAUUUCAAAAAUCAAUAUACAAAAUAUUAACAACUCUCAAACAAACCAAUUUACAAACUGCAAAUCACAAAAUAAAGAAGUAUAAGAGUAAUGAUAAGCAUAGACUUCUCACUAGAUAGGGGUUGAACCAAAGAACAUAAGGGGAAGAACAAAAACCCUAACAGAGCUCCAAAGAGAGAAAUACAAGACUCAAGAAAGAGAGAAGAAUCUAGAGUUUGCGUAAAAAAAUGUAAAGAAUAAGUAACCCCAAUAAGACAACCUUUUUAUACCUAAGGUCAAUAAUAUCUAACCCUAGAUAUUACCAAAGUGCCCAUGUUUAUUCAACAUAAGGACUAAAUUACCCUUUUUCAUAUAAAUUCCCAAAUUUACCCUUGGCAAAGUUUAAGGCACACUUUACAAACUCCACCUUAUCAAAAACUAACAUAUGAAAUCGAACCAAAGAACAAACUUAUGCAACCUAUAACUCUAGACACUGCCAAUAUUCAACAAGCUUAAGGGUUCCAUAUUGUUGAUCGACACAGGUUUAGUCACUAUAUCUACAAGAUUUCCAUCAAAUGCAAUCUUCUCUAAUUUGACUUGCUCAUUGGUUAGAAUGUCUCUAACAAAGUGUAAUCUUACAUCUAUGUGUUUUGUCCUCUCAUAAUAAGUACUAUUUUUUUUUACAAAUGUACAACAUUCUAAGAGUCAAAGAAUACAAUACAAAUACUAUCAGUUAAUCCAA
This is a long non-coding RNA of Mangifera indica (mango), 1558 nucleotides long. RefSeq lists it as uncharacterized. NCBI's taxonomy places the organism in Eukaryota, Viridiplantae, Streptophyta, Magnoliopsida, Sapindales, Anacardiaceae. The record is from RefSeq and is a predicted model, not a curated record. The transcript has 2 exons.